GACGAACCGUGCGAACGUUGUUCGGAUUCACUGGGCUUAAAGGGCGCGUAGGCGGACGGUCAAGUCGGGGGUGAAAUCUUUCAGCUUAACUGGAAAAGUGCCUCCGAUACUGAUCGUCUCGAGGGAGGUAGGGGCAUGUGGAACUUCCGGUGGAGCGGUGAAAUGCGUAGAUAUCGGAAGGAACGCCGGUGGCGAAAGCGGCUCACUGGUCCGGUACUGACGCUGAGGUGCGAAAGCGUGGGGAGCAAACAGG
This 253-nucleotide ribosomal RNA is filed under the name uncultured bacterium. RNAcentral's name for it is "partial 16S ribosomal RNA". It matches the Rfam family "Bacterial small subunit ribosomal RNA", at positions 524 to 776 of the family's 1533-position model. The record is from RNAcentral.